RNAcentral lists this ribosomal RNA (699 nucleotides) under Salmonella enterica. RNAcentral's name for it is "partial 23S ribosomal RNA". It matches the Rfam family "Bacterial large subunit ribosomal RNA", at positions 911 to 1608 of the family's 2925-position model. The record is from RNAcentral. Lineage: Bacteria; Pseudomonadati; Pseudomonadota; Gammaproteobacteria; Enterobacterales; Enterobacteriaceae.
UGUUUCGGCUAGGGGGCCAUCCCGGCUUACCAACCCGAUGCAAACUGCGAAUACCGGAGAAUGUUAUCACGGGAGACACACGGCGGGUGCUAACGUCCGUCGUGAAGAGGGAAACAACCCAGACCGCCAGCUAAGGUCCCAAAGUCAUGGUUAAGUGGGAAACGAUGUGGGAAGGCCCAGACAGCCAGGAUGUUGGCUUAGAAGCAGCCAUCAUUUAAAGAAAGCGUAAUAGCUCACUGGUCGAGUCGGCCUGCGCGGAAGAUGUAACGGGGCUAAACCAUGCACCGAAGCUGCGGCAGCGACACUCAGGUGUUGUUGGGUAGGGGAGCGUUCUGUAAGCCUGUGAAGGUGGCCUGUGAGGGUUGCUGGAGGUAUCAGAAGUGCGAAUGCUGACAUAAGUAACGAUAAAGCGGGUGAAAAGCCCGCUCGCCGGAAGACCAAGGGUUCCUGUCCAACGUUAAUCGGGGCAGGGUGAGUCGACCCCUAAGGCGAGGCCGAAAGGCGUAGUCGAUGGGAAACGGGUUAAUAUUCCCGUACUUGGUGUUACUGCGAAGGGGGGACGGAGAAGGCUAUGUUGGCCGGGCGACGGUUGUCCCGGUUUAAGCGUGUAGGUGUGUGUUCCAGGUAAAUCCGGUUCACUUUAACACUGAGGCGUGACGACGAGGCACUACGGUGCUGAAGCAACAAAUGCCCUGCUUC